UUUACAUCCUUAUCUGGGAUUAUGGGAAAACAGAAUUGAUGGAUGGAGAGAGAUAAAGUAGAGAUAAGCAGAUGACACAGACAGAGAGAGAACACACACCAGGUUUAUCCUCAAGAAACAGAGAAGUAUCUGCUUUUCCAGUUUUCCAAUUUUAAUUCCAGCCUCUGUGACAAAGCUGUGCCUCAUUUACAGUACAGGGCUGUCCAUGGGAUAACUUGAUGCCACCUUUCGACUCACAUUGUAAUGAAUGGGCUCUUGUUCUUUGAAUUACAAGGAUACGUUUCAAGAGGACUGUGAUUUCAAAGUGAACUCUACAAAAUCCUCCUCUGAAAUAUACGUGUGGAGUGGCACAGUGGGUGAGUGCUUCUAUACAUACACAUACACAAGAUAUAUUAGAUGUAAUAUAUCAAUAAUAUAUUACCAUCAUAUUAAUAACAUUAUAUAUACAUUCCUUCAUUCUGCAGGUACCUUCAGUUUCACUUUCUGACCGUUGUGCUUUACUGUGCACAAUGUAAGUAAUAGAAAGAGUUGAAGACAGGAGAAAGGUAAUUGAAUUACUUCUAGAAAAAACAAGGCCAAGUGUUAGAGAUACACCACCAACUUAGAGGCAGUGAAUUGAACGAAUUGUAACUAAGGAAGAGAGUGAAGGUGCCACUAAGGAAGUAACUCUAUUCUUUAAAAUGGAACCAGAAUAAUAAAUUAUUACUUUCUCAACAAAAGUCACAAAGAUUUAUGACAAAUGCCUGCCAAAACACUAAAGAGGAGAAGCCAAAAUAAGGCUGGCAGUUACAGGAGGAAAAAUAGAGCCUCUUAGUAUGUGAGAAAGGUUUCCUUUACCCUCAUCAAAGACGAAGCAUUAUUAUGUACCAAUGGCUGACUAUGGGUAGCUGAGAUGGAAAUAACAGAAUGCAAACUACAUGUGCUGCAGGAAUGAAAAAGUAACAAUAAACGUCGCAAGCAAAAGGAAAGCUGAAAGUGGAGAGACACAAAUCUUGCAGCAUGAUAUCCAAUAAAGGUUCUGCAUAAGGCCUCUGGGGAAGGAGACUGUCACCUUUCAUCCUCCUCCUUUCAUUAAUAUGCCCUACAGCUGCAUGAAUGAGGACAUUCUUUAAAGGUUUUGAUAGCCUGGCAUAAUUUUUAACACCCAGAAGUAGCUAAUAAGGCAGCAGAAUGUAGUGGGUAAACUGAAAGUCUCUCAGAGCCAUGUUGCUUGGGUAUGAGUCCUCACCCAGCUCUUUGACCUUGGGAAAAUCAUUCAGCUUUCUGUGCCUCAGUUUCCUUCUGUGUCAAAUGGGGGGUACAUGAAGUUGUUUUGAUGAUUCAAUAAGUGUGUGUGUGUGUGUGUUUAAAACAGAGCCUAGUGCAUAUUUAAUGCCAAUAUAUCAUUUUGUAUUAUUUAAUAUUUUAACCUUGUUGACUGGUCUUAUACAAAACGACCCAUAAAUUUUAACUCUGUACUUAAAACAACAGUAAAAUGAAAACUCAAUAAACACAGUGGCAUCACUUAAUGAAAUGUCUGUAUACAGAUGGGGCAGAAAGUGGGAAACACUGGGUAACAGUUAAAGAAACCAGACCAGUCCUACAAUAAGGGGUAAUUAUGGAAAGAAGUAGCUUACAGAAGUGGCACAUUGAGAGCAAUGUGGUUUUGCAGUUCUACAAGGUACGUAUAGGAGAGAGACAGCUGAGGAGUGGAAGGCAAUCAGCAGAGUGUUCCAAUCUUCUAACAAUACAAGUAUUUCUAGGUGGGUAACAGUAACAAAGACAGUCUUAGGAUGGCCUCAAACCAACUUCAUAAGCCCUGUUCCAGUUAUUGAAGAUCCAGCCUGUCUGUAAUCUUAAAAAAUGUCUCAAAGAAAGAAAAGAGUAAUGAAUAGAUUUGUUCUUUAUGCGAGUUAAAAACUUAAUAUUAUUAUGGCAGCUUCAAAGUAGAUGGACAUGUUGGCUUUGUUGCCCUUCAUCCUGUACUCUAGUUGAAAAGUCCGAACCCAAUGAUUUGUCCCUGUGUGCUGUAAAAUUCUUAAUCAGAGCUAAGUAGAAUAAGUAGUCUUUGUUUCUGAAGCCUGUUCAAAGAAAGACUUAUGUGAAUAGCAACUCUGAUUGUGAAGAGGACUUAAGAGUUGAGGCUAAAAUUAAUCCGAUUCUAAAUGUCACUUAAUAAGUCAGCAAAACAAAGACAGACUGGAAUCGUUAGUUGCGCCCAGCAAAACUUCUUUGAACCUCAUAAAUUCAAUUUCUUAUGGUUAUUUUUUUGUUUGUUUAACUAAGGAGUUAAAUGGUAUUAAAAUCAAGCUGAAACCAGUGAGGAAAUUUUUAAAAGUAUAUUUUAGUUAAACCUGACACCUCUUUUGGAUAGAAAUGCCAGGUGCAUUGCUUUUCACAUGAUUUCAGCUCAUUGCAAAGUGUGUGAGCAUACAAGGAUCCUUGAGAAUUUACUAGGCAAAUAAUAAUCAUUUAAAUUGCCUUUAAAAUGUCAAAUCUGCUCCAUAUUGAGGGCUGACAAUUUGAAAAAAAUAUUUUUGCUGGUUUUACAAGAAUGGUAAAACUCUAGAAAUAAGUAUGAUUCUGUUCUAUUUGACUGCUAUAUACAUGUUAUAUUCCACAGAAAUAUGAAAAUUAUAUACAAUGACCUACAUGAUAGCAUAAUAUAAAUAUUCAAAAACUGCUACAUCAACAGGCUAUUUAAUGUAACUUUGGAUUACUAAAAUCUAUAAAGAUAUAGAAACUGGGUAUCUCCUAUCCCCUCCCCACAUCUCUUCUCUGUAUCAAAGAAAGGUAAAAUGUCCAAGAAGUUAAAACAGUCAGUGACACCACAGGCAGGUUCUCUGUAAGGUCAGCAGCAUCACAGUGGCAGCUAGGUGAUUUUAUGAGACUUCCUGUGGGAUAGGUUUAAUGGGACUUGCACUAAAGGAUUACCCACCAUUUCUGUCAAAAUGGAAAAUGAAAAAUUCUCCCAGGAGUAGCUAUUUCCAGUGGCCAAAUUAUAAUCAGUUAAUGAAAGCAUGGAAGUGGGGUUGAUUUUAUACUCCAGACUGCUUUCUCCUCAAGUUUACAGGAAAUUUUCAGGGAGUGAAUUUACAUAUAUGAUUUCCCAGAAACAGUGGAUUCACUUAUAAGUGUCAUCUCAAGGUUGGUGGCAAUGGGAGAAAUGAGGGAAGAUUACUGACUUCUCUACUCGGGGUGGUGCUGGAGGUGAGGUUGUCAAUUAUAUUCACCACUGUUUUAGCAUCCCAAAAUAUUGUGAGUUGAUAGUGCAAGAAACAUGUAUGUGAUUAUUUUUUUCUUUUGUAUCAUACCAGGUAAAUGCUAGAUGGCUAUUAGAAUAAAAAUUAAUGAGGAAGGGGAGAUAUUCUUGAGUAUUCUUCUGUUCUUUUGAUCAAUGGUAUUAAAGGAGCUUUUUUUUUUUUUUCCACUGACAGCCUCUGGAUGUUGUCACCUUAUCAUUUUUACACAGUCUAUGAUAAAUCACUUAGUAGUGAGAAAGUUGUAAAAUUGCCUUGACAUUUAAAAAAUAGCAUUUUGUUUCUACUCUAAAGUAGUUAGACAUGUUUUAAAAUAAAGUAGAUCAAAAUGAGGAAGAAAAAUUAUUAUAUGAACCAGUCUAAGUAAUACAAUUUUAGCAAAAUGUUUAUUUAUACAAAGAACAAUUACAUAUCUUCAGCUUUUGCCCCCAUUUUUAGAAUUGGUCUUCUCUGUUAAAAUGCUAUUUUUAAUUUAAAAACAUCGAGUAUUGUUUACAUGGGUUUAUUCAAUCCAAAUAAAAUAAGUGAUAUUAGAUGUUAUUUGGUUAGUGUGCAAAUAAUUCUAAAUUUUAAAAUUGCCUCAAUAUUCUUAGUGGGCUAUUUAAUCAUUGGGAAUUAAUUUAGUAAUAAAUGCUAUGAAAGCAAAAAAAAAAAAAGGAAGGAUUGGAAAGUAAAAUAAUUCUUGUGUUCUAAAAGAGUACCAAUUUUAUAUUAUAAUAAUAAUUUACUAAAUAGGAAGUUAAUAGCUGAGAAAUCAUUUAUAUCACUUUCCAAACAAUUUUAGGCCUGUUACGAGACCAGGCUUACACAAAUAGAAUGUUUAUGGUGUUAUUAUAUUUUCAGUGAAUACCGGAUAAAAUGAUUUUCAUUCAAGGCACUGUAAUACAGUGGGGAACAGGAAAUAAAUAGAAAACAACAAUGUAAACAAGGUGAUUCUUUUUCUUCCUUUUAAUUUUAAAAGUAACAUAUCAAUACAAAUGAUAAUCCAGAAAAAGGGAGAAAAAAAUAUACACAAUCCACCACCCAGCACAAUUAAUUCAUUAUUAAUUAUUGCAUUUUGAGGUAUGCCUAUAUACAUAUUUUAGCUAUAAAAUAAAUGGCCAUAUUCGUAGUAUAUACAGUUAUAUGUUGAUUGAUGACAGGGACACAUUCUGAGAAAUGCAUCACUAGGCAAUUCUGUCAUUGUGCAAACAUCAUGGACUAUAAUUACACAAACCUAGAUGGUCCGGCCUACUACACACCUAGGCUAUAUAGCAUAGCCCAUCAUGUCUAGGGUACAAACCUGUGCAGCAAGUUACUGUACUGAAUACUCUAAAGUGUUACUCUACAGUAAUAUAUUAGUGUAUCUGAACAUAUCUAAACAUAGAGAAGGUAUUCUAAGAUAUUGUAUUUUAAUCUUAUGAGACCAAAGCAGACGCUGUCUGUUUCCAUGACAAGGUAUUGUAGGUUUAGUUAAUGCCAGUGGAGGUUAGGAUGCCAUGGUUGGAGUGGAUUUAGUAUAUUAGCCAGCCAUGACCUAGACAUGGUAGCAACAAAGAAAGAGAAAGAUAAGUUUUGGGGAACUUGACUAUCAUGAAGUACACAGAGAGAGGGUGAAGAUGUUUAGUACAAGAAGUUGGGGAGAGGGCUUCUUCUCUCACCAGCUGGAUAACUUUAAAAGCUUGAAUCUACAAUUCCUCAGCUGUUGAAUUGAGAAAAUUAUAAUAAUGUCUACUUCAUGGAAUGGUUGUAAGAUUUAAUGAGUUUAUACAUGAAGGGUGAUUACAGGAGUCUCUGGCAUGUUU
Molecule: long non-coding RNA, 5023 nt
Organism: Sapajus apella (tufted capuchin)
Lineage: Eukaryota; Metazoa; Chordata; Mammalia; Primates; Cebidae
Exons: 2
Source: RefSeq, a predicted model, not a curated record